AUCAUGGCUCAGAUUGAACGCUGGCGGCAUGCCUUACGCAUGCAAGUCGAACGGUAACAGGGAGCUUGCUCCGCUGACGAGUGGCGAACGGGUGAGUAAUAUAUCGGAACGUGCCCUAGAGUGGGGGAUAACUAGUCGAAAGAUUAGCUAAUACCGCAUACGAUCUAAGGAUGAAAGUGGGGAUCGCAAGACCUCAUGCUCGUGGAGCGGCCGAUAUCUGAUUAGCCAGUUGGUAGGGUAAAAGCCUACCAAGGCAUCGAUCAGUAGCUGGUCUGAGAGGACGACCAGCCACACUGGGACUGAGACACGGCCCAGACUCCUACGGGAGGCAGCAGUGGGGAAUUUUGGACAAUGGGCGCAAGCCUGAUCCAGCAAUGCCGCGUGAGUGAAGAAGGCCUCGGGUUGUAAAGCUCUUUUGUCAGGGAAGAAACGGGUUGAGCUAAUAUCUUGGCCUAAUGACGGUACCUGAAGAAUAAGCACCGGCUAACUACGUG
This 494-nucleotide ribosomal RNA is filed under the name uncultured bacterium. Its description in RNAcentral is "bacterial SSU rRNA". It matches the Rfam family "Bacterial small subunit ribosomal RNA", at positions 16 to 507 of the family's 1533-position model. The record is from RNAcentral.